AAGAAGCUUGCGGAGCAGUUUCAGAAGCAGGCUCCCGAAGGAGCUGCUGGCUCAGCAGAAGCUCAAGAGGAGAAUGACGACGACGUCCCAGAGCUUGUUGCAGGACAGGAUUUUGAGACAGCUGCCGAGGAGACCAAGGCAUCUUAGAUUGUUAUUGUUAUUGUGCCCAUCGUUAUAUAUUCUGUGUUUUUAAUUUUUUUUUUCUUGAUUUACCAUUUUAAGUAUUUCAGGUGUUCAGUUCUCCUGUCAUAUACUUUAAACACUUAAAACCCUCUAUUAAAUCUGCUUUCCUCCAUCUAACUAGGUAUACCUGACAUGUCAUCUUGCAUUAUUCACUGUUUGAUACUUAGUGUCGAGUAUUCAAAUCCUUCCUGCUUUGUCUCACCCUUGGCUUUGAUAUAAAGUUAUUGAUGGAUUUUUUAAGAAAGUUGAGAUGGAACAAGUAUAUUGCGCUUUUCUAUUGAUAUCGUGCACAUCAUAAUUCACAUUUAGGAUUUAAUUAUGUUAUGAUUGAUGUACUCCAAACAGAAACAGUCCAUGCCCACUAACUCCUUGUUGAAUCAGGUACUCAGUCUUCACGAACCUGGUGGUAAUGGUCUCAUGUACAGUGAAAAUUGUUGUCUAAAUUUGUCUUAACUGAACAUUUGUUUUGAAUUCGAAGUGAUCCCAACUGUAAUUUGCUC
This 683-nucleotide long non-coding RNA is filed under the name Vigna radiata. RNAcentral describes it as "long non-coding RNA (VRAD_LNC001443)". The record is from RNAcentral. Lineage: Eukaryota; Viridiplantae; Streptophyta; Magnoliopsida; Fabales; Fabaceae.